AAUCCUGCCGCUGCUGCCCACAGAAACUCACUCCACAUCUUCAGCUGUUGUUCUGCCCCUCAGUGCUGGUGAGCUGAACAGCACCUGCUGUAAUGUUGACUACAACACUGCAGACUCCUCCAUCUCCCAGUCUGGGCAAGUGGACCUUAGGAGAGACAUCCUCAGGUUUAUAAGGAGUCCAGAGAGUCGUCUCUGCUGGCAUGAAACUGCACACUGCUGGACGCUCGAGGUAAUCACAG
Hemibagrus wyckioides is the source of this 239-nucleotide long non-coding RNA. RefSeq lists it as uncharacterized. NCBI's taxonomy places the organism in Eukaryota, Metazoa, Chordata, Actinopteri, Siluriformes, Bagridae. The transcript has 3 exons. The record is from RefSeq and is a predicted model, not a curated record.